GUUGCAUUUGAACUCCACUGCACGCCGUGCUGCUGUCCCCUCUUCGCCCGCUGCAGCCUCCCCUCCCUCAGGCCAGCGCUCUCUCCUUCGCGCUAGCUUUCCUCUCCCGCUCCCCCGACGAGUCCUCAACAAGUUGGAGGGAGGCAGGAGCGCAGGGGUUAAGCUCGGGAAGCUGCAAUUACCAAGAUCGUGACCCUCCCACACAGUACAGUAACUUAUAUACUUACCUAGAAGAGCCCACUUUGCCGCUGGGCAAACACCCGCGGAGGGGGGGGGAGUGAUAGGAGGGGAGCGGGCUGGCCAGAGAGGGCUGCUUCCAGACGGCUGAAGCACACAGCGAACCAAAGCAUUCCCAAGACUCCCGUACUCAGGUGGUCAAGCCUGUCCUGAUACUGAGUGGUUGGCAUGAGGGGUGACCACCCAAGGGAGGCAGUCUCAGAGCUUACAGAAGUGGAAAAGCCCGAAUGAAGGAUCUCAGGAGUCCUAGGAAUUUAGUUUUUUCCAUGGAAAGGAAAUUUGGGAAUUUGGUCGUUCUGCUGGAUCAAGCAAAUGAAGGAAUCGUCUGCAGCUGGUGCUGGACCUGAAGCUGUGGACCUGCCAGAAGAAGACGAGUUUCUUUGAUAAACUAGGUCUAUUUAGUCAAAAGUGUGUGAACAGCUGCCCAUCCCUGCUUGACCUUCAAAGGAGCUCUCAAGAUGGUGUGUUUCUAGAGCUAGACCAUGGAUAGCACUGUAGGGGUCCUUGUAGAAGAAGCUCUACUAAAGAGCUGAUUUCCUUGUGUGAAGAGUGAGGUUAUUGUGUUUGGAUGUAGUGAUGCACAGGAAAACGCUUGACAUGAAAAUGCAAUAUUCUUUACUUGUGGUGACAUUACUGCUUAAGUAAAUAAAAUAGUAACUUCUAAUUAAUUCUAAUGCUAAAGACUCUGUUUACUUUAAAUUAGUUGUUCUUCAUAGAACUUUUUUUUCCCAACUCACAACUUGACAACUGGAUGUAGAAUGGAAUCAAAGCUCAAUGUGUCCAUCCCCAAGAUGUAGCUCAGUUGACAGAGUGCUUGCCCUAGCAGAUGCAAAGUUUGCUUCCCAACACAGAGGAAAGUGCUUUCUUGGUACCCGCCUAGAAUUCAAGCACCCUGGAGCUGGAGGCAGGAGACAACCAGAAGUGCAAGUGUAGAGAAUUUGGAACCACCUGGGCUACAUGAAACCCUGCCAAAAACAAAAAAAAGCAAGACAGUGUUUUGAAUUGUGAUCAAAUGAAGAUCAGAUAGUACAGUGGAUGACAGGACUGUUAACAAGAGGUAAUGAAGGAUCUAGCUCUUGUCUCAAAGGUUUAGCUAUGAUGUUAUUCUUAAAAACUCCUGACCUCUGUGACAUUUUCUCUAAUUAUGAAAUUUUCUUUUGUACAACGAACUACUCCUAAUUUUGCUGUGAAAACUGGGUAUGAAUUUGUAGGUAUGUGUAUCAAGUUGUAGAAAAACUGCCAAUGAACUUCAAUGGAAAUCUGUGAUCUGUGUGUAUUACUACAUUACAGUGCUGUUAGUUCACAUUUUUUACAUUAAAGACUAUUCUCAGCUUUAAAUUUUAAAUAAAUGAUUCUGAAGUUCA
This is a long non-coding RNA of Mesocricetus auratus (golden hamster), 1601 nucleotides long. RefSeq lists it as uncharacterized. The record is from RefSeq and is a predicted model, not a curated record. The transcript has 4 exons. Lineage: Eukaryota; Metazoa; Chordata; Mammalia; Rodentia; Cricetidae.